Molecule: ribosomal RNA, 497 nt
Filed under: uncultured bacterium
Lineage: Bacteria
Description: partial 16S ribosomal RNA
Rfam family: Bacterial small subunit ribosomal RNA
Source: RNAcentral
GAUGAACGCUGGCGGCGUGCCUAAUACAUGCAAGUCGAGCGAACAGACGAGGAGUUUGCUCCUCUGACGUUAGCGGCGGACGGGUGAGUAACACGUGGAUAACCUACCUAUAAGACUGGGAUAACUUCGGGAAACCGGAGCUAAUACCGGAUAAUAUAUUGAACCGCAUGGUUCACUAGUUAAAGAAGGUUUUGCUGUCACUUAUAGCUUGAUCCGCGCCGCAUUAGCUAGUUGGUAAGGUAACUGCUUAGCAAGGCAACGAUGGGUAGCCGACCCGAGGGGGUGGACGGCCACACGGGAACUGAGACACGUUCCACACUCCUGGAGUGGGAAGCAGCAGGGAAUCUUCCGCGAUGGGCGAAAGCGUGACGGAGCAACGCCGCGGGAGUGAUGAAGGACUUCGGCUCGUAAAACUCUGUUAUUAGGGAAGAACAAAUGUGUAAGUAGCUAUGCACGUCUUGACGGUACCUAAACAAAAAGCCACGGCUAACUACGUG